This 30-nucleotide non-coding RNA is filed under the name Rattus norvegicus (Norway rat). The record is from RNAcentral. Lineage: Eukaryota; Metazoa; Chordata; Mammalia; Rodentia; Muridae.
UUGGAAAUUGCUUGAAAUUCAAAUGGUGGC